Molecule: transfer RNA, 69 nt
Filed under: Rattus norvegicus (Norway rat)
Lineage: Eukaryota; Metazoa; Chordata; Mammalia; Rodentia; Muridae
Rfam family: tRNA
About the family: Transfer RNA (tRNA) molecules are approximately 80 nucleotides in length. Their secondary structure includes four short double-helical elements and three loops (D, anti-codon, and T loops).
Source: Rfam by way of RNAcentral
GGGGAUUUAGCUCAGUGGUAGAGUGCUUGCCUAGCAAGCACUAGGCCCUGGGUUCAGUCCCCAGCUCCG